GACGAACGCUGGCGGCGUGCCUAAUACAUGCAAGUAGGACGCAGUUGCGAACGGGUGAGUAACGCGUAGGUAACUGCCUCUUAGAGGGGGAUAACUAUUGGAAACGAUAGCUAAUACCGCAUACUAGUAGAUGGACCUGCGUUGUAUUAGCUAGUAGGUAGGGUAAUGGCCUACCUAGGCGAUGAUACAUAGCCGACCGGGCAGGGUGAUCGGCCACACGGGGACUGGGACACGGCCCCGAGCCGGACGGGAGGCAGCAGUAGGGAAUCUUCGGCAAGGGGGGGAACCCUGACCGGGCAAGGCCGAGGGAGUGAUGAAGGUUUUCGGGUCGUAAGGCUCUGUUGUUAAGGAAGCGGUACUUAACCAGAAAGGGACGGCUAACUACGGGCCAGCAGCCGCGGUAAUAC
This 407-nucleotide ribosomal RNA is filed under the name uncultured bacterium. RNAcentral's name for it is "partial 16S ribosomal RNA". It matches the Rfam family "Bacterial small subunit ribosomal RNA", at positions 28 to 526 of the family's 1533-position model. The record is from RNAcentral.